Meleagris gallopavo (turkey) is the source of this 3248-nucleotide non-coding RNA. The record is from RefSeq and is a predicted model, not a curated record. NCBI's taxonomy places the organism in Eukaryota, Metazoa, Chordata, Aves, Galliformes, Phasianidae.
UAAAUAGCCGUAGUGCAGCCGGCUUGCUCUGCCACCCACGGCCCACGAGAGGUCUUCACUGCUUGCUUUUCAUCUGUGAACUCGCUCCAGCAAAAAGCAAACCAGUGCCCCCUCCCCGCCCUUACUGGGAUGCACUGGGAGCAUCGCUGUGGGGUGGCCCAUCGUAGUGCUGUGGGGUUUGCUGCUGUGAAGCCCCUGCUGCAUUUAGGGCCUAAUAUCUUUCUGCAGUGCAUCUCCUGUGCCGUCCCCGUGGUGUUUGCACGUCCUGCCUUGCACCAACAUGUGGGUGAUGUGGAGCGUGGAGUGCCCAGCAAACACAGGGAUGGGAAUAUGGGAUAUUACCCACAAAUAGAGGAGGAGAGGGGGGAGGAAAAGGAGGAGCAGGAGUUGGAGGGCUGCAUAUGAGUGGUAGAGGAGUAGGAGCAAAUAGAAACAGCCCAUGGUGCACAGCUGGGCCUGGAGAACAGCUGUCCCUCUGGAUACUCACGAGUUAACAGGCAGGCCCAUGGCUCCAGGAAGGAGCAGAGCCCAACGGUGCCAGCAGAAAGCUGUGAAAACAUCGAGCAGAGUGUUUACAUGGCUUUUUCUUUCUUUUUAUUUUGAGAUGCUCUGAUUACAAGCCAGACUUUUAAAGACAGGAAGUGCCCAGCAGAUGAGCGUAUCAAUCACUGCCUUUAUAAGCUUUUGAAGAUUCUGCAAAUCAUUUUAUGGCUCAGAUAGCAGCCUUCCUGCAAAGGCAAUAAACCUGGCAAUGAGUCAGGCUGAGGAUGUGUGCCGUGCCCAAGGGCUCAGUGCUUUGCCUCUCCGGGUCGGCUCUGUGAGGUGACUGCUCUUCUUCCUGCAUGGCUGCACUGGGAAUGGGUGGAUGGAGCAAAAGGAGACACGUCCCCAUCCGUGCUGUGCUCCUUUGGGAGUGGGUCCUGUGCAUGGGGAGGAUGCACGGAGCUAAAUGAACCGUGUGAGCUCAGUGGGUCCUCAGCAUGGAGGUGCAGCACUUCCCAGGGCAACCACGUCCACAAUUGCACAUGAAACUCCUUUUAAGAUAAGAUGCAAACAUCUGGAGACUUUCCUAUCUGCGGGCAUUAGGGAAGUCUGGGCUGCAGUCUCGGGUGCCUCUGUGAUGGUGCACGUCCUCUCCUCCAUACCAAUCCCUGAGGGGGGAAGCUCUGCUGGGGCUGCAGCCCAUUCCAUUGCUGGGCCAGGACUUGGAUCCAGUCUCACCAGCCUUACGUAGAGCCAAUGCACGACUGCUCCUUUCUGCUUCCAGACGGUGCAGCCAAAUAAACCUCCCGCUCCUUCCCUCUUCCUGGUGCCAUUACCUCUUCACUCCCUGUAACUCGCAGCCACGAGUGAGUCAAAAGCAUUUUUAUAGCGAGUGUGCAAAGUGAACUGUAGCUGGGGAGCAGUUAGGUGCGCGCCGUCCCUCCCCAGCCUGACAACCAGCGUUACUGCCCAGCAGGGAAUAGCCUGAUCGCUCGUUUACGGCUGCAAUCAUCUCUCUGUUACAGCAUUAGAAAGGAAUGAGCACCAAAAGCCAUUAUAAUUAAGAUCUCUCCGGAGCUGACAGUAGAAAUAGAUGGCAUGUGGAGCUGGAGCUCCGUGGCUCAGCUGUUUCUUUUCGAGCUGUCACUGGAAAAUUACAGAGGCUGACAAUCAUAUUCUGAGCUCAGCUGUGCUGAGCAGUGCACAUCCAGCACAGCACCAGGCACUGCCAUGGAUGCAGCCCUCCAAACCCAAAGGCUCGCUGCACUGGGUCACCUGCAUCGCACUCAGGUCUCGUUGGCUUUGUAACAAGGCACAGAACGACCUGAUGAUGGGAAGGAUGUACAGAUGCUUCUCAGUUGGGCACUGUGUGGCUCUGAGUGCUCACCUCGCACUGCUGGCUCUGCCCCCAGGUGCUCCCCCAUUGGCAGGAGGGAUGCUGCUGCUUCUGUCACAGCUGUCCCCUUAUAGCUGCAGAAGCCUUGCUCGGGGCUCCUGAUACCCAAGGCUGGUCCAGGUGCUCCUGGAGCCCGGCCAGCUGUGAUAAAUCUCCUUAAUUGCAGCUCAUUGUAAUCAUGCUUUAUAUGGAGCUGAUGCUAUUACUGUUGGGAGCUUUGGCCUGAUGAAUCCCAGGUAGGAGACCUGCAGCUCUCCUGGGGGGCUGGAAGCAUUGAGUGGGAGCUCCAGGGCUUGUUGGGGCUGACGGAGCUGGCUCUCAGCCCUGUGCUGCAAUGGGCAGAGUGCAGGAGCAAAGGCAGUACGGAGAUGUCAAUCCGUACCUCACCUCUUUCUGGUCCCAUCCACCCGAGAACCCAUCUGGUGCACGAGCAGGAGAACCUUCAGUGUUAAUUGCCCCUCUGCAAGGUACGUGAUCAGAGAAUCGUUAAGGUUGGAAAUGGCCUCUGAGAUCCCCACCCAGCCGUGCCCACUGACCACGUCCCUCAGUGCCACAUCUCUGUGUCCCACGAGCAUCCCCAGGGAUGAUGGCCUCCACCGCUCCUUGGGCAACCCGUGCUGGUGCAUCACAGCUCUUCAGAAAAGAAACGUUUCCAAAUGUCCAACCUGAUCCUCUCCUGGUGCAGUGUGGAGCCAUCACCUCUCGUCCUAUCAACACCGCCGCCUUCUCUAAGCGCUCACUGCAGCCACAGCAGCAGCGGGCACUCCCAACACGGGGUGCUCCACGGAACAUGGCACGGCUCCAUCUGGCUGAUCCCAAGGAAUGCCCGGGCGCAGCCGCAGCUCCGGGGGAUUAAACUGAAGUCUAACGUUACACCCCUUGGAAGAGCAGAGCUUUACUUGGAAACCGAAUCGCAUUAAUUAGCAUUCUGCUAAUGGCUGUUUUGUAUAAAUAUAGUGUGCCUUAAUACCAACACGAGUCGCAGGUUGACAUAUUUAGAUCGCUGAUAUCAAAGUCAUUAACGCCUCUCCGUGGUAAACCUAUUCUCAGUUCGGGCUACAAAUGGGAUUCUCCUGAGCCAAUCAAUCUUCCUAAAGCCUGAGCAGAGCCUGUUGAUCUUUAGCCACUGAAUGGAUGCAGCUUCCCAGAAAUGUGCUUGCAUCUGUCAGAAUUAUAAGCAGCUGGCAGCCCCAGACAAGGGUCAUAUUUGCUGCGAGUGUGAAAAUAGGAUCCCAGGACAAGAAAUGCUACUUAGCAGCAUAUCGAUUCUGAGCUAUUAAUGUUGCAGCACAAUGCGUGUGUGUGUGUCCGUGCAGGCACUCCUGCACAUGCCAAUUAUGUAUUUAUACACAAGGUCUCCUCUCACAUA